RNAcentral lists this ribosomal RNA (253 nucleotides) under uncultured bacterium. RNAcentral's name for it is "partial 16S ribosomal RNA". It matches the Rfam family "Archaeal small subunit ribosomal RNA", at positions 474 to 727 of the family's 1478-position model. The record is from RNAcentral.
UACCAGCACCCCGAGUGGUCGGGACGAUUAUUGGGCCUAAAGCAUCCGUAGCUUGUUCUGCAAGUCCUCCGUUAAAUCCACCUGCUCAACAGAUGGGCUGCGGGGGAUACUACAGGGCUAGGAGGCGGGAGAGGCAAGCGGUACUUAGUGGGUAGGGGUAAAAUCCGUUGAUCCAUUGAAGACCACCAGUGGCGAAGGCGGCUUGCCAGAACGCACUCGACGGUGAGGGAUGAAAGCUGGGGGAGCAAACCGG